GGGGUUGUAGCGCAGCUGGUUAGAGCGCCGGCCUGUCAGGCCGGAGGUCGCGGGUUCGAGCCCCGUCAAUCCCGCCA
Molecule: transfer RNA, 77 nt
Filed under: Coriobacteriales bacterium
Lineage: Bacteria; Bacillati; Actinomycetota; Coriobacteriia; Coriobacteriales
Description: tRNA-Asp
Rfam family: tRNA
About the family: Transfer RNA (tRNA) molecules are approximately 80 nucleotides in length. Their secondary structure includes four short double-helical elements and three loops (D, anti-codon, and T loops).
Source: RNAcentral